CCGAGCUUCACAGCUUGUUCUUGUCGUGGACUGGUUUUGCCUUUGCCUUCGGGCAGGAUCACACUCUUGUCUUGUAGUCUGAGUCUUUGUCAACGAAAA
This 99-nucleotide unclassified non-coding RNA is filed under the name soil metagenome. RNAcentral's name for it is "partial internal transcribed spacer 1". The record is from RNAcentral.